UGUAGUCUGCAACCCGACUACAUGAAGCUGGAAUCGCUAGUAAUCGCGAAUCAGAAUGUCGCGGUGAAUACGUUCCCGGGUCUUGUACACACCGCCCGUCACACCAUGGGAGUCGGAAAUGCCCGAAGUCAGUGACCUAACCGAAAGGGAGGAGCUGCCGAAGGUGGAGCCGGUAACUGGGUGAAGUCGUAACAAGGUACC
Molecule: ribosomal RNA, 201 nt
Filed under: uncultured bacterium
Lineage: Bacteria
Description: partial 16S ribosomal RNA
Rfam family: Bacterial small subunit ribosomal RNA
Source: RNAcentral